UUACAUGAUGAUUUACGUAUUAUUUUUAUCACGACGGUCAACAUACUCUAUACAUUGAUGACCACCGCCUUUGACAGGGCAUUAUAUCUGACA
This is a small nucleolar RNA of 93 nucleotides. It matches the Rfam family "Small nucleolar RNA snR73".